GAAAAGGGUGGACGGUCACGAACUCGGGACGAAGCCACCAACCAGCUCGCUGCCUCCCCGCUGCCAUGGCGACCUCGACCUCCCUCCUCCCCCAUCUCCUCCCCGCCCCUGCCUCCCGCCACCGUUUCCACCCCUCCCCUUCCGCAUCCCCCCGCCACCUGCGCCUCUCUCCUGCUACUCGCCUUCUCCGCGCCGCUCGGCGCCGGCACCCCGACGCCGUCGUCGUCGUCCCGGACGCCCGCCCCUGGGUCGGCGAUCUCUCGGGCGCCACCGCUUCCUACCGGGAAGGCGGCGAGGAGGACGAGGACGACGCGGACGAGCACGACGACGAGGACGAGGACCGCAGCCUGGACCUACUGGCCCGGUUCCUGCACUCCGUGUUCAGGAAGGCCUCCCGCCGGGCGGGCCGCGCCGCCAGGUCCGUGCUGCCGCCUUCCGUCCCCGCUGAGCUGGUGAAGUUCUCGGUCAAUGGCGUGCUUGUCCUGACGUUCUUAUGGAUCCUGAAGGGUCUUCUCGAGGUGGUCUGCACAUUUGGAAGCAUGGUGUUUGCAAGCAUCCUUCUUGUUCGAGGAAUAUGGUCUGGGGUGACUUAUAUCAGAGAAAAUCGGUACAACUAUAUUCACCGGAUCGACAACGAUGAUAGCCGAUGGAGCAGAGUACAGACUGCUGGUUGAUAUUUUGCUUUCCUUCUCUGUGGACACACAGACAGACACACACAGACUGCAUUGGCAGGCUCUAGAAUAAAAAGAAAUAUAAGAGUUACUUACUAAUGAGAUAGUAGAAUGCUCCCAGUUCAUUGCCAACUAGGAUGAUUGCUAUUGCUAUACCCCUCAGCUGGACCGGAAUGAAACAAAUCCACACGUACCUGAACAGAAUAAGUGGUUCCUCUCGACCUGGGCGCAUUGAGGAUCGAUGCUUGAGUUGGUGGGAGCUCAUACGCGCAGAAAAAAAAAGAAAUGAAAUUGUGCUGAAGAAUGUUUGCAGUUCUGAUCGCGAUGCAUUUGGAGGUGCCAGGCUAGGCUUGUAUGCAUGUAUGAGUAUAUGAGUAUGAGUAUGACACGUAAGCAGCCGAGGUAGUUGCAGAUAUUGAAGAACGAAUGCUUGUUUUGUGUGCAGAA
Molecule: RNA transcript, 1118 nt
Organism: Panicum virgatum (switchgrass)
Lineage: Eukaryota; Viridiplantae; Streptophyta; Magnoliopsida; Poales; Poaceae
Exons: 4
Source: RefSeq, a predicted model, not a curated record